This 364-nucleotide ribosomal RNA is filed under the name Paleosepharia excavata. RNAcentral's name for it is "partial 16S ribosomal RNA". The record is from RNAcentral. Lineage: Eukaryota; Metazoa; Arthropoda; Insecta; Coleoptera; Chrysomelidae.
UUAAAUGGCCGCGGUAUAUUAACCGUGCUAAGGUAGCAUAAUCAUUAGUUUUUUAAUUGAAAGCUGGAAUGAAGGGUUGGAUAAAAAAAUAACUGUCUCUAUAAAAAUGAUUGAAUUUUAUUUUUAAGUUAAAAAGCUUAAAUUUUUUUAAAAGACGAGAAGACCCUAUAGAGUUUAAUAUAAAAUAUAAUUAUUUUUUUUAGUAUUUAUUUAAAUAAUUAAAUUUUAUAUUUAGUUGGGGUGAUUGAAAAAUUAAAUAAACUUUUUUUGUAUAAAAAUAUAUUUUUAUAAAUAAUUGAUCCAAAAAUUUUGAUUAUAAGAUAAAAUUACCUUAGGGAUAACAGCGUAAUUUUAUUAGAGAGUU